UCCCCAGUAGCUCAGUCGGCAGAGCAGAUGGCUGUUAACCAUCGGGUCCGCGGUUCAAGUCCGUGCUGGGGAGCCA
RNAcentral lists this transfer RNA (76 nucleotides) under Deltaproteobacteria bacterium. RNAcentral's name for it is "tRNA-Asn". It matches the Rfam family "tRNA". From Rfam's summary of the family: Transfer RNA (tRNA) molecules are approximately 80 nucleotides in length. Their secondary structure includes four short double-helical elements and three loops (D, anti-codon, and T loops). Further hydrogen bonds mediate the characteristic L-shaped molecular structure. tRNAs have two regions of fundamental functional importance: the anti-codon, which is responsible for specific mRNA codon recognition, and the 3' end, to which the tRNAs corresponding amino acid is attached (by aminoacyl-tRNA synthetases). tRNAs cope with the degeneracy of the genetic code in two manners: having more than one tRNA (with a specific anti-codon) for a particular amino acid; and 'wobble' base-pairing, i.e. permitting non-standard base-pairing at the 3rd anti-codon position. The record is from RNAcentral. RNAcentral also lists the same sequence under 4 other names. Lineage: Bacteria; Pseudomonadati; Myxococcota; Myxococcia.